This 494-nucleotide ribosomal RNA is filed under the name uncultured bacterium. Its description in RNAcentral is "bacterial SSU rRNA". It matches the Rfam family "Bacterial small subunit ribosomal RNA", at positions 34 to 507 of the family's 1533-position model. The record is from RNAcentral.
CGCUGGCGGCGUGCCUAAUACAUGCAAGUCGAGCGGAAUGAUGAAGAAGCUUGCUUCUUCUGAUUUUAGCGGCGGACGGGUGAGUAACACGUGGGCAACCUACCUUGUAGAUUGGGAUAACUCCGGGAAACCGGGGCUAAUACCGAAUAAUCCAUUUUGCUUCAUGGCGAGAUGUUAAAAGGCGGCUUCGGCUGUCACUACGAGAUGGGCCCGCGGCGCAUUAGCUAGUUAGUAGGGUAAUGGCCUACCAAGGCGACGAUGCGUAGCCGACCUGAGAGGGUGAUCGGCCACACUGGGACUGAGACACGGCCCAGACUCCUACGGGAGGCAGCAGUAGGGAAUCUUCCACAAUGGACGAAAGUCUGAUGGAGCAACGCCGCGUGAGUGAAGAAGGUUUUCGGAUCGUAAAACUCUGUUGUAAGGGAAGAACACGUACGAGAGUAACUGCUCGUACCUUGACGGUACCUUAUUAGAAAGCCACGGCUAACUACGUG